CUACCUUGCAGAAUUAGUGUGAGGUUACCUGUGAUGAAGCCAGUGAAAGAGCUUGUUUGCCUGGAGCUUAAGAAAUGCUCAAGCAAUUGUUCAUUUUAGAGUUCCUGUAUCAGGGGAGCCUGGACUCUGCCUGUAGACACCGGGAGAGAAUAGCAGUAAGGUGCCAAUUAUGCUGAGUGAGGUGUGUCUUGAGAAAGAGCCUCUGGUUGCCUGGCAAUUAAAGACCAGAUCGGUUUCCAGGAGGAUGGUCAUUCCGUGGAGAACACAGCGUUUCUUGCUGGACUUUUGUCUACCUGGGGAAAGUCUUCCACACUGUGUCUGGCGCCAUAAAAACUUUGCAGAGGGAUGCGUGAAAGGAGAGAUGGAUGGAUGGAUGUCGGGAAGUGACCUGAGAUCAUCCUGUCCCACCUGAUGUGCCCAAGGUGAUGCCACUUGGCAGAGCUGGCCUGAGAAACCGCAGUGCUGGGCUUCAGGUCCUGUGGCUUUGCUGGUGGAGGUCAUCGAGAGGACAUGACAGCCGGUUGACCUUCAACCUGAACCAAGGCAACUGGAGGCCCCUGCCCCCCUCCCCUUGGAAUGUCUUUGAAUUGUCUGCUCUGCCCACCGUUCCACAGUGGCAGCUGCUUUUGAGGAUGCAGCCUUGAGAGAGUAUGAUGUAUGCGACUGAACCCGUUCAGGCCUCUCUGUCAACUUUUGGAGACUGUGCUGGGUGGAAGCAGAGGUCCACCCAUCUUGAAGCAGGAGACAAGCCCCUCUGGGAGCUCUCUACUUACACGGCCUGUCAUCUACCCGUCCGGAGUGGCUGCCUCUUUCUUCCUUCUUUCCCUGCCCUCCAGGCACGAGGGCCAGUUUGAGAACCAACAGGCUUUGCCACUGUAGCUCAGCCUGACAUCUUUUAGCAAAAGACGGAACACAGCAAGUUUGUGUACAAUGCCAUCUCUGAAUAUGGCAAAUACCAACAGAAAGGGGUGAGUAUGUGGGUACUUUUCCCCUCCUAGUUAAUAAUUUAUGGCCCCAAACAACAUUCUGUUCUUACACGUAAUGCAAAAAUAGAGGCUGACUUUGAUAAUUAACCUAUUGCUUUUAGCUAUGGUCGUGCAAAAAUAUCAGAAGGAAAAACAUGCUGGGAUCUUCAGUCUUCUCUCCUUGUUUGCCUUCCUCUCAUUGAAACCUGGGUGUCAAAUUAUCUGCCUUUUCUUUCUGUCAAAAAACAAAACAUUUGCCCGGUUAAUCUCUGCCCUGAAUUUUGUUGUUCUGAGCUUAAAUCCAUGUCAUUAUGCAUCAUUCACAUCCUGAAAAUGCAAUAGAAGCGGAGGCUAAACUGUAUUUCAGCCUCCAUUGAUCAGCACAAUGGUUCUAAGUGUAUUGGCUAUGAAAUAAUGUACUAAUUUUGCUUACUCUUCCUUUUUGCC
This 1412-nucleotide long non-coding RNA is filed under the name Sus scrofa (pig). RNAcentral describes it as "lncRNA (ENSSSCG00050007118.1)". The record is from RNAcentral. Lineage: Eukaryota; Metazoa; Chordata; Mammalia; Artiodactyla; Suidae.